ACAGUGGGUGUGGUUUACUCGCCUGCCGUCUAAGAUGCAGAAAAACUUCAAUGAAUGCAAAUGUUCAUAGAAAACCUAAGUUCCUAAAUAAUUGCCUGUGCACCGUUAAUAUACCGCCGAGUAUCACUCCAAAUAUAGUGUUAUUUGAUAGACAUGUAAUGUUCUUUACGAUACAUUGGGUGUGGUUUACUCGCCUGCCGUCUAAGAUGCCGAAAAACUUCAAUGAAUGCAAAUGUUCAUAGAAAACCUAAUUCCUAAAUAAUUGCCUGUGCACCGUUAAUAUACCGCCGAGUAUCACUCUAGAAAUAAUGUUGUUUGAUAGACAGUGUAAUGUUCUUUACGAUACAGUGGGUGUGGUUUACUCGCCUGCCGUCUAAGAUGCAGAAAAACUUCAAUUAAUGUAAAUGUUCAUAGAAAACCUAAGUUCCUAAAUAAUUGCCUGUGCACCGUUAAUAUACCGUCGAGUAUCACUCUAGAAAUAAUGUUGUUUGAUAGGCAGUGUAAUGUUCUUUACGAU
This is a long non-coding RNA of Cydia strobilella, 517 nucleotides long. RefSeq lists it as uncharacterized. The transcript is spliced from 3 exons. The record is from RefSeq and is a predicted model, not a curated record. NCBI's taxonomy places the organism in Eukaryota, Metazoa, Arthropoda, Insecta, Lepidoptera, Tortricidae.